AUUGAACGCUGGCGGCAUGCUUUACACAUGCAAGUCGAACGGCAGCACAGGGAGCUUGCUCCCGGGUGGCGAGUGGCGCACGGGUGAGUAAUACAUCGGAACGUGUCCUGUUGUGGGGGAUAACUGCUAGAAACGACUGCUAAUACCGCAUGACGCUUCUUGGGGGCAUCCCUGAGAAGUCAAAGCUUUAUGUGCUGAAAGAUGGAUUCGCGUCUGAUUAGCUAGUUGGUGAGGUAACGGCUCACCAAGGCGACGAUCAGUAGCCGGUCUGAGAGGAUGAACGGCCACAUUGGGACUGAGAUACGGCCCAG
Molecule: ribosomal RNA, 311 nt
Filed under: uncultured bacterium
Lineage: Bacteria
Description: bacterial SSU rRNA
Rfam family: Bacterial small subunit ribosomal RNA
Source: RNAcentral